GCCCAAUUGCGGGUGCUAAUAAUGCAAGUCGAGCGGACAGAUGGGAGCUUGCUCCCUGAUGUUAGCGGCGGACGGGUGAGUAACACGUGGGUAACCUGCCUGUAAGACUGGGAUAACUCCGGGAAACCGGGGCUAAUACCGGAUGGUUGUCUGAACCGCAUGGUUCAGACAUAAAAGGUGGCUUCGGCUACCACUUACAGAUGGACCCGCGGCGCAUUAGCUAGUUGGUGAGGUAACGGCUCACCAAGGCGACGAUGCGUAGCCGACCUGAGAGGGUGAUCGGCCACACUGGGACUGAGACACGGCCCAGACUCCUACGGGAGGCAGCAGUAGGGAAUCUUCCGCAAUGGACGAAAGUCUGACGGAGCAACGCCGCGUGAGUGAUGAAGGUUUUCGGAUCGUAAAGCUCUGUUGUUAGGGAAGAACAAGUGCCGUUCAAAUAGGGCGGCACCUUGACGGUACCUAACCAGAAAGCCACGGCUAACUACGUGCCAGCAGCCGCGGUAAUACGUAGGUGGCAAGCGUUGUCCGGAAUUAUUGGGCGUAAAGGGCUCGCAGGCGGUUUCUUAAGUCUGAUGUGAAAGCCCCCGGCUCAACCGGGGAGGGUCAUUGGAAACUGGGGAACUUGAGUGCAGAAGAGGAGAGUGGAAUUCCACGUGUAGCGGUGAAAUGCGUAGAGAUGUGGAGGAACACCAGUGGCGAAGGCGACUCUCUGGUCUGUAACUGACGCUGAGGAGCGAAAGCGUGGGGAGCGAACAGGAUUAGAUACCCUGGUAGUCCACGCCGUAAACGAUGAGUGC
Molecule: ribosomal RNA, 800 nt
Filed under: Bacillus amyloliquefaciens
Lineage: Bacteria; Bacillati; Bacillota; Bacilli; Caryophanales; Bacillaceae
Description: bacterial SSU rRNA
Rfam family: Bacterial small subunit ribosomal RNA
Source: RNAcentral